UACGUAGGGUGCAAGCGUUGUCCGGAAUUAUUGGCGUAAAGAGCUCGUAGGCGGUCUGUUGCGUCGGCUGUGAAAACCCGGGGCUCAACCCCGGGCCUGCAGCCGAUACGGGCAGACUAGAGUUCGGCAGGGGAGACUGGAAUUCCUGGUGUAGCGGUGAAAUGCGCAGAUAUCAGGAGGAACACCGGUGGCGAAGGCGGGUCUCUGGGCAUUACCUGACGCUGAGGAGCGAAAGUGUGGGGAGCGAACAGG
This 252-nucleotide ribosomal RNA is filed under the name uncultured bacterium. RNAcentral's name for it is "partial 16S ribosomal RNA". It matches the Rfam family "Bacterial small subunit ribosomal RNA", at positions 524 to 776 of the family's 1533-position model. The record is from RNAcentral.